UACAAAUUCUUUAUCAGAUUGAAACGACAAGGUGAUAUCUUUAGGCGUAAUAAGACCACUGAUGUUCUUGUACAUCGAAAACAUACAGCUCUUCAAGGAACUCCCAUUAUUUUUGAGGGAGAAGACUGACAUUCUGCUGAGGACUUGUCUGGAAACAGACCCAGAGGAAAGUUGCACCCAAGGCUUGAAAGUGGGUAUCAUCAUCAUUAUUGUUGGAGGAUGAUGUUGCCAUUGUCCAUUCCAACCCCAAUAUUGUCGGAACAGGCAUUGUACUGGAGGAGCAGAUUGUGCUGGAUGAGCUGCGUGAUCUGCCCAGUGCAUUUGCACUCCUGUUUGGCUUACUCUAUGUACUAAA
This is a long non-coding RNA of Erpetoichthys calabaricus (reedfish), 355 nucleotides long. RefSeq lists it as uncharacterized. The record is from RefSeq and is a predicted model, not a curated record. NCBI's taxonomy places the organism in Eukaryota, Metazoa, Chordata, Cladistia, Polypteriformes, Polypteridae. The transcript has 3 exons.